RNAcentral lists this ribosomal RNA (700 nucleotides) under uncultured bacterium. Its description in RNAcentral is "bacterial SSU rRNA". It matches the Rfam family "Bacterial small subunit ribosomal RNA", at positions 8 to 725 of the family's 1533-position model. The record is from RNAcentral.
AGAGUUUGAUCAUGGCUCAGGACAAACGCUGGCGGGGUGCGUGAGACAUGCAAGUCGAACGGGGUUGAUCGGGCUUGCUCGAUCAACCUAGUGGCGGACGGCUGAGUAACGCGUAGGUGACCUGCCCGGAGGUGGGGAAUAACUGCCCGAAAGGGUGGCUAAUACCGCAUGUGGUCGGCGAAUCGGAUCGCCGUCCAAAGCCGAAAGGCGCUUCCGGAGGGGCCUGCGUCCGAUUAGCUAGUUGGCGAGGUAACGGCUCACCAAGGCGACGAUCGGUAGCUGGUCUGAGAGGAUGAUCAGCCAGACUGGGACUGAGAACGGCCCAGACUCCUACGGGAGGCAGCAGUCGGGAAUUUUGCCCAAUGGACGAAAGUCUGAGGCAGCAACUCCGCGUGAGGGAUGAAGGCCUUCGGGUCGUAAACCUCUUUUCCCAGGGAAGAUCCAAGACGGUACCUGGGGAAUAAGCCACGGCUAACUACGUGCCAGCAGCCGCGGUAAUACGUAGGUGGCAAGCGUUGUCCGGAUUUACUGGGCGUAAAGCGCGCGCAGGCGGCUGGCCAAGUCCGAUGUGAAAGCUUCCGGCUUAACUGGAAAACGGCAUCGGAUACUGGUCGGCUGGAAGGUGGGAGAGGGUAGCGGAAUUCCCGGUGUAGUGGUGAAAUGCGUAGAUAUCGGGAGGAACACCAGUGGCGAAAGCGGC